AGCAUCUCUGACAUCUAAAGGAGAUGGAGUUCGUCUACUUGGUCUAGAGAAACAUAACUGUAUUAGAAUAUGCUUGUAAGUUACUGGAGUUGGGCCGAUACUCCCCUGAGACGCUGUUGGAUGAGGGCAAGAAGGCUAGGAGGUUCCAGUGGAGCCUCCGCCUAGAGAUCAGACAGCACUUGUUCAUGCUAGAGCUCAGGACCUAUUCGGCCGUUC
Molecule: long non-coding RNA, 216 nt
Filed under: Carica papaya (papaya)
Lineage: Eukaryota; Viridiplantae; Streptophyta; Magnoliopsida; Brassicales; Caricaceae
Description: long non-coding RNA (CPAP_LNC000794)
Source: RNAcentral